CAUUGCGGCAGGUAAGUAUUUAACCCUUUGAAAGGGACGCGCUUGUCCUUUCCUUCAGAGCGGAUUGCGGAUCCCUGGGUCUAAAUCUUGUGAUCUGUUUUCCAAGGGAGGGGAAACCCUAAGCCUCAUCUUCCCAAUGGAUACCUCUCUGAUCAAGAGCCAUUGGUGCACCUCCUGCCUUGGCAUGGUGUACAUUGACAAGCAAACAUCCAUUUUGGUGAAGACUAAUGAGGGACCUAUCGUUGCUUCUGGGUGCUUCUCCAUUGACUUAGAAGAACUUGGCACCCAAUAGCCAGAUUAGGAAGAUGUUUCCAUGGCUUUGAAGUUUUCAUUCAGAAUGCAAGAAACACUCUUCCGCUUCUUUGGAGGCUUCCAGAAGAAAUUAAUGAUGGUGAGCUUGGACUUGAAGCAUGAUCCUACAUGAGAAGGGAUAACUGCAGAAGCCUUGAAGCUAUGCAGAAGAGAACAUACAUUUCAAUGCAAAGCAGUACCCUACUGCGUGUCCAGUCGAUCCAUAUAUUUGUUGCUGCACUAAAACAUCCAAUAUGACUUCAGUAUCUUUAGCAGAUGAUAUAUGCGGUCAUUGAAGAUGGUUGUGGGAAGAAUUAAUGAGAGAAGAGGUUAUACUUAUGGAAGCUAAACCCAAGUCGCCGACAUUAGGCUUUCAAUGUCCUGUUUGGGAUUUCUUUGAGGAUUUUCGUAUUUAUAUAUUUUUAGUUCAAGAUGGUCUUCAGUUUUCAAGACGUAAAUCUAAUAAACUUUGUUAAAAAAAACAUUUGGCAUUAUGGA
Non-coding RNA from Anolis sagrei ordinatus, 789 nucleotides. Lineage: Eukaryota; Metazoa; Chordata; Lepidosauria; Squamata; Anolidae. The record is from RefSeq and is a predicted model, not a curated record.